ACUUUCAGCGGGGAGGAAGGCGAUAAGGUUAAUAACCUUGUCGAUUGACGUUACCCGCAGAAGAAGCACCGGCUAACUCCGUGCCAGCAGCCGCGGUAAUACGGAGGGUGCAAGCGUUAAUCGGAAUUACUGGGCGUAAAGCGCACGCAGGCGGUCUGUCAAGUCGGAUGUGAAAUCCCCGGGCUCAACCUGGGAACUGCAUUCGAAACUGGCAGGCUAGAGUCUUGUAGAGGGGGGUAGAAUUCCAGGUGUAGCGGUGAAAUGCGUAGAGAUCUGGAGGAAUACCGGUGGCGAAGGCGGCCCCCUGGACAAAGACUGACGCUCAGGUGCGAAAGC
This 336-nucleotide ribosomal RNA is filed under the name Klebsiella quasipneumoniae subsp. similipneumoniae. RNAcentral describes it as "bacterial SSU rRNA". It matches the Rfam family "Bacterial small subunit ribosomal RNA", at positions 432 to 760 of the family's 1533-position model. The record is from RNAcentral. Lineage: Bacteria; Pseudomonadati; Pseudomonadota; Gammaproteobacteria; Enterobacterales; Enterobacteriaceae.